UCAUACAUUACACAAAUAAUUCAGUAUGCAGCCAUUUGUAAGUAUAUACAACAUACCAGUUUGCAAAAUCCAAUAUGAAAUCAUAAUUGACAACAUAGAUAGGAAAAAUGUGAAACAACAUAGAUUGGUCAAAUAUGACACAACAAUGUAAAGAGCAAGUACAUUCUAGUUUACAUUAAGAAAACUAUAAGGUAUUGAGGUUAUUCAGGUUCUUCCAAAUCAGCCCUCCUGGCCCUCCCCUCCUGAUGGCAACUACCAUGCCGUAGCAUAGGGCGAUGAGUAGCAUCAAGUAUCCCACCACCCAAACG
Molecule: long non-coding RNA, 308 nt
Filed under: Hordeum vulgare
Lineage: Eukaryota; Viridiplantae; Streptophyta; Magnoliopsida; Poales; Poaceae
Description: long non-coding RNA (HVUL_LNC006070)
Source: RNAcentral